AACCUUAUGGACCUGCGGGCGUAUACCUGCGGAGGGAUCAUUACUGAGUGAGGGCCUUCGGGCUCGACCUCCAACCCUUUGUGAACACAACUUGUUGCUUCGGGGGCGACCCUGCCGUUUCGACGGCGAGCGCCCCCGGAGGCCUUCAAACACUGCAUCUUUGCGUCGGAGUUUAAGUAAAUUAAACAAAACUUUCAACAAUGGAUCU
RNAcentral lists this unclassified non-coding RNA (208 nucleotides) under soil metagenome. RNAcentral's name for it is "partial contains 5.8S ribosomal RNA, internal transcribed spacer 2, and large subunit ribosomal RNA". The record is from RNAcentral.